UCUCUAGUUGAAGAAAUGAUGGGUUGUCUAUUGGACUGUGACCCGGGUUUGACUUGUGAGCUGGUGAAGAACUAUAUAUCACCUACUGCUUCUUGCCCUAGUCAUUAUGUUGGUGUUAUCAUUGGCGAACCUUCAUCAACUCCAUAUCUUGGAUACAUUGAUGAUGUUUCCAGGUUUAUAUGGAACUUUUUGGCUGAUAGAACUGCUAUUCCAAUGGAGAAGACUAGCUCUGAUUGCUCAAAAGGUUGCAGCAACAAAGAUGAAGUCUGCAUUAGGGCAGAAACAAAUGGAAAGAAAGGGGGUCUGUGUUAUUUCUACCCUAAUGCAGACUUCAUCUUUGUUGCUG
This 346-nucleotide unclassified non-coding RNA is filed under the name Hevea brasiliensis (rubber tree). The record is from RNAcentral. Lineage: Eukaryota; Viridiplantae; Streptophyta; Magnoliopsida; Malpighiales; Euphorbiaceae.